This 141-nucleotide ribosomal RNA is filed under the name uncultured bacterium. RNAcentral's name for it is "partial 16S rRNA". It matches the Rfam family "Bacterial small subunit ribosomal RNA", at positions 355 to 511 of the family's 1533-position model. The record is from RNAcentral.
UGGGGAAUUUUCCGCAAUGGGCGAAAGCCUGACGGAGCAAUGCCGCGUGGAGGUGGAAGGCCUACGGGUCGUCAACUUCUUUUCUCGGAGAAGAAACAAUGACGGCAUCUGAGGAAUAAGCAUCGGCUAACUCUGUGCCAG